AAGCACGUUUUUGUUCUUCUUCAAUACGAUACAUGGAGCGCUAAUCUAUCACUUUCCUCUCUUAGCUCGGUUCCUCUCCAAUACAAAUACAGAACGGUGGUUGAUCUGCUUGGAAAUUUUGAAAUGGACAAGACUUGGAUGCGUUGUACCAAUAGACUGAGCAAUGUGUAUUUAAAAGGAGUUAGACAAUUUUCCCCACUUUGCAAUUAAGCACUCAGAAUUAGAAGCUUGGUGAAACGGGCUAUUUAUCACAGAGAAAUUGUGCCCAAUCAUGAAGACGAGAGGAAGUAAGGAAAGAGAAAGGUGAUGUACAUUUGAAAUGAUUUAUGAUGUUUCUAUUCAUGAGAUGAUGGAUAAUUUUAGUGGGGUUAUGUUUAAACAUGGCACUGCC
Long non-coding RNA from Nicotiana tabacum (common tobacco), 391 nucleotides. RefSeq lists it as uncharacterized. The record is from RefSeq and is a predicted model, not a curated record. Lineage: Eukaryota; Viridiplantae; Streptophyta; Magnoliopsida; Solanales; Solanaceae.